RNAcentral lists this long non-coding RNA (224 nucleotides) under Lathyrus oleraceus (garden pea). Its description in RNAcentral is "Pisum sativum (pea) long non-coding RNA (PSAT_LNC023373)". The record is from RNAcentral. Lineage: Eukaryota; Viridiplantae; Streptophyta; Magnoliopsida; Fabales; Fabaceae.
UUCUAGCAACUAGGUGUCGCAACCCGAAAAAUACAGAGGUGCGAAAAAACAACCGGCGAAGAAAGAUGACAGAAGAGUCGCCACCGUGCGUUAUUUAUCCCAAAGGAGGGAAAGGAAACGCUCGAAGUAAACCUGAAGAGAAGGAAAGGAAAAGACAAGGUCUCGCAACCAAAUCUUGGGUUCGGGAGUCGAUUAUGCGAAGGGAAGGUAUUAGCACCCCUACG